GCACCCACCACUUCCUUCCCGAUCCCCAUCCUCCCCGUCCCGAUCCAGCACCGUCCCCCUGCCCCCACCCCAACCAACGCCCGCACCUCCCGCCGCCGGCCACCCGGCCCCGGUCCGCCGCCCCCCGACCACGACGCGCCGGCCACUCCAACCAGCGCGUCCUGCCGUCGGCCACCCCGUCCCGAUCCAGCGCCGUCCCCCUGCCCCCACCCCAACCGACGCCCGCAUCUCCCGCCGCCGGCCACCCCAACCCAGCCCGUCCCGCCGUCGGCCAACCCGGCCCCGUCGCCGCAACCGCCCCCCCCCCCCCCCCCCCCCCCCCCCCGACCCGCCGGAUGUCGCAACCCGCCAGAUCCGACGGAUGCUCACGCGUGGGGGAGCGGUGCUGCUCCGGCGAGCUCACGCGUGGGGGAGCGGUGCUGCUCCGGCGAGCUCCUUCCCCCUCGAGCACGGCGCGUCGUCGACAGCCUCCAUCCUCUUCUUCCCUCUUCCAUCAGCCGAGCACAACUCCGUUUCACAGGUCCUUCAGAAAAUGGGAAAAGUGGGUUUUCUUCCAUGUUUAUCUACAAAAUGUUUCAAUGCCUCUGUUUAUAGGAGGCACGGAGAUGUUUCCUGGACGGAUGUGCAAUCUGGUUUAAAUGGGCGAUGGCACAAAAUUAGGCUCUUAGGAGUCGGAAUGGCGCUCUUAGAUGCCCAUUUGAUUUCAGUGGAGCUGGUGCUUGUGUGUUCAGAUGAAGACAUGAAUUGUGUGAGGGAUUAGAAAAGAAAAUUGUGGCAGAGAUAAUGCCAUAGGCGUGGGUAAGUCGUGAUGUGAGGAGAUGCAUACACAUGUGUAUACAUUCCAAUUCUACACUCAUAUGUACUCCUACUUUUUUUUGAGACAAAAAUGUGCUCCUGCUAAGACAGAGAAACUACAUGUAUUUCUGUAUUUAUGCUUAUCAAAUCACUGAAAAAACCAGCCCUAUUGAGUGC
This is a long non-coding RNA of Triticum aestivum (bread wheat), 972 nucleotides long. RefSeq lists it as uncharacterized. The transcript has 2 exons. Lineage: Eukaryota; Viridiplantae; Streptophyta; Magnoliopsida; Poales; Poaceae. The record is from RefSeq and is a predicted model, not a curated record.